This 250-nucleotide ribosomal RNA is filed under the name uncultured prokaryote. RNAcentral's name for it is "partial 16S ribosomal RNA". It matches the Rfam family "Bacterial small subunit ribosomal RNA", at positions 524 to 773 of the family's 1533-position model. The record is from RNAcentral.
UACGUAGGUGGCAAGCGUUGUCCGGAUUUACUGGGUGUAAAGGGCGUGCAGCCGGGAGAGCAAGUCAGGUGUGAAAUGCAGAGGCUUAACCUCUGAAUUGCAUUUGAAACUGUUUUUCUUGAGUACUGGAGGGGCAAUCGGAAUUCCUAGUGUAGCGGUGAAAUGCGUAGAUAUUAGGAGGAACACCAGUGGCGAAGGCGGAUUGCUGGACAGCAACUGACGGUGAGGCGCGAAAGUGUGGGGAGCAAAC